CAGUCGCCGCGGUAAUACGUAGGGUCCGAGCGUUGUCCGGAAUUAUUGGGCGUAAAGGGCUCGUAGGCGGUUUGUCGCGUCGGGAGUGAAAACCAGCAGCUUAACUGCUGGCCUGCUUUCGAUACGGGCAGACUUGAGGCAUUCGGGGGAGAACGGAAUUCCUGGUGUAGCGGUGAAAUGCGCAGAUAUCAGGAGGAACACCGGUGGCGAAGGCGGUUCUCUGGGAAUGUUCUGACGCUGAGGAGCGAAAGUGUGGGGAGCGAACAGGAUUAGAUACCCCCGUAGUCCCUGUCUCUUAUAC
Molecule: ribosomal RNA, 301 nt
Filed under: uncultured bacterium
Lineage: Bacteria
Description: partial 16S ribosomal RNA
Rfam family: Bacterial small subunit ribosomal RNA
Source: RNAcentral